RNAcentral lists this ribosomal RNA (253 nucleotides) under uncultured bacterium. Its description in RNAcentral is "partial 16S ribosomal RNA". It matches the Rfam family "Bacterial small subunit ribosomal RNA", at positions 524 to 776 of the family's 1533-position model. The record is from RNAcentral.
UACGAAGGGGGCUAGCGUUGCUCGGAAUGACUGGGCGUAAAGGGCGCGUAGGCGGAUGGCACAGUCAGAUGUGAAAUUCCCGGGCUUAACCUGGGGGCUGCAUUUGAUACGUGUGAUCUAGAGUGAGGAAGAGGGUCGUGGAAUUCCCAGUGUAGAGGUGAAAUUCGUAGAUAUUGGGAAGAACACCGGUGGCGAAGGCGGCUCACUGGCUCAUAUCUGACGCUCAGGCGCGACAGCGUGGGGAUCAAACAGG